Molecule: non-coding RNA, 73 nt
Organism: Perkinsus marinus ATCC 50983
Lineage: Eukaryota; Perkinsozoa; Perkinsida; Perkinsidae
Source: Rfam
GCCUUCUUAACUUAGUUGGUAGAGCACCCGCUUAGUAAGCGGGAGGUCGUCGGUUCAACUUCGGCAGAAGGCU